This 301-nucleotide ribosomal RNA is filed under the name uncultured bacterium. RNAcentral describes it as "partial 16S ribosomal RNA". It matches the Rfam family "Bacterial small subunit ribosomal RNA", at positions 509 to 807 of the family's 1533-position model. The record is from RNAcentral.
CAGUAGCCGCGGGAAUACGUAGGUGGCAAGCGUUGUCCGGAAUUAUUGGGCGUAAAGGGCUCGCAGGCGGUUUCUUAAGUCUGAUGUGAAAGCCCCCGGCUCAACCGGGGAGGGUCAUUGGAAACUGGGAAACUUGAGUGCGGAAGAGGAGAGUGGAAUUCCACGUGUAGCGGUGAAAUGCGUAGAGAUGUGGAGGAACACCAGUGGCGAAGGCGACUCUCUGGUCUGUAACUGACGCUGAGGAGCGAAAGCGUGGGGAGCGAACAGGAUUAGAUACCCCUGUAGUCCCUGUCUCUUAUAC